UACGUAGGGUGCAAGCGUUAAUCGGAAUUACUGGGCGUAAAGCGUGCGCAGGCGGUUGUGCAAGACAGAUGUGAAAUCCCCCGGGCUUAACCUGGGAACUGCAUUUGUGACUGCAUAGCUAGAGUACGGUAGAGGGGGAUGGAAUUCCGGCGUGUAGGCAGUGAAAUGCGUAGAUAUGACGGAGGAACACCGAUGGCGAAGGCAAUCCCCUGGACCUGUGACUCGACGCUCAUGCACGAAAGCGUGGGGAGCAAACGAGG
RNAcentral lists this ribosomal RNA (260 nucleotides) under uncultured bacterium. Its description in RNAcentral is "partial 16S ribosomal RNA". It matches the Rfam family "Bacterial small subunit ribosomal RNA", at positions 524 to 777 of the family's 1533-position model. The record is from RNAcentral.